This 170-nucleotide ribosomal RNA is filed under the name uncultured bacterium. RNAcentral describes it as "partial 16S ribosomal RNA". It matches the Rfam family "Bacterial small subunit ribosomal RNA", at positions 356 to 525 of the family's 1533-position model. The record is from RNAcentral.
CUGGAUUUGGAAUGGGGGCAGCCUGAUCCGCCUGCCGCGUGUGUGAUGAAGGCCUUCGGGUUGUAAAGCUCUUUUGGCCGGGAAGAAAUCCUGCGGUUUAAUACCGGGUGGGGCGGACGGUACCAGAAGAGCAAGCCCCGGCUUACUACGUGCCCCCCGCCGCUAUAAUA